CGGACUUAACUCAUUCUUUUAGAUUGAGAGCGGUUAGUGGCGCACUGGUGAGUAACACGUAAGCAACCUGCCUAUCAGAGGGGAAUAACAGUGAGAAAUCAUUGCUAAUACCGCAUAAGCUAGUAGUAUCGCAUGAUAUAGCUAGAAAAGGAGCAAUCCGCUGAUAGAUGGGCUUGCGUCUGAUUAGCUAGUUGGUGGGGUAACGGCCUACCAAGGCGACGAUCAGUAGCCGGACUGAGAGGUUGAACGGCCACAUUGGGACUGAGAUACGGCCCAGACUCCUACGGGAGGCAGCAGUCGGGAAUAUUGCGCAAUGGAGGAAACUCUGACGCAGUGACGCCGCGUAUAGGAAGAAGGUUUUCGGAUUGUAAACUAUUGUCGUGAGGGAAGAAAUUGACAGUACCUCAGGAGGAAGCUCCGGCUAACUAUGUGCCAGCAGCCGCGGUAAUACAUAGGGAGCGAGCGUUAUCCGGAUUUAUUGGGCGUAAAGCGUCCGCAGCCGGUUUAUUAAGUAUAGAAUAAAACUUCGGGGCUCAACCCCGUCUCGUUCUAUAAACUGAUAGACUAGAGUGUGGUAGAGGCAAGUGGAAUUUCUAGUGUAGCGGUAGAAUGCGUAGAUAUUAGAAGGAACACCAGUGGCGAAGGCGACUUGCUGGGCCAUCACUGACGGUCAGGGACGAAAGCGUGGGGAGCGAAUAGGAUUAGAUACCCUAGUAGUCCACGCCGUANACGAUGAGCACUAAGUGUCGGGCAACCGGUGCUNAAGUUAACACAUUAAGUGCUC
This 784-nucleotide ribosomal RNA is filed under the name uncultured bacterium. Its description in RNAcentral is "bacterial SSU rRNA". It matches the Rfam family "Bacterial small subunit ribosomal RNA", at positions 63 to 869 of the family's 1533-position model. The record is from RNAcentral.